AUGAAUCAUUGUUGAGUGCUUCCUUUCACUAUUCCUUGCAUAAAAAGAUCAAGAGUUAGUUUAAGGAACAUAAGCAAGUUUGGGUCCCUUGUAGUAGGAAAGAUGAUGAAUAAGACCUUUUUUAGUCCAUGCAGGUAAUAUGCAUUUUUGUGGAACCUGGUCCUCUUUUAGUAGUUACAUUUUCACCAACCAUUCUGUUUUUCUUAGUGAACUGGACCCUGGUUUGACAAUUUUCCAUGAAAUGUCCAUUGUUCCCAUAGUGGGUACUCAACUAAUUUUCGGGUGCAGUCACACAUUUACUAAGUGGGUUUUAAGGGGUUUUCUCCCUUUGGAACUCUAUUCCUUGCAUGUUUCCACCAUUAUUAGUGUUCAUGGUAGUGAUAACUUCGUAGGACCAGGUCCACUUUAGGGACUAUUCAGCAUCACUUUUUACUUCUUCCCGUUAAGUUUGGAGGUGCUUGUUUUUAUCAGUUUCAGCACACAUCCAAGUUCUCACAGGUUUGAACUCAUUUUCAAGCCUAAUGUGUUCCUCACUGGCUAUCUCAUUUCCUUUUCCAGUAUUUCCAAGUUUAGACUUAGUUCUUAGUCCCUUCAUUGUUUUCCCCAAGUGUUCAAUUUCUACCAAGAGAUCAUUUCUUUCUUCCUCAAUUUUAGUCACUCUUCUUCCUUGGGCCUCAUUUGCUUCACUAAAGUUCUCAAUAGAUUCCUUAUGGUCAAGAACUACUACAACUAAUUCAUUUUUUUUCUCUUCAACUCACAAAUGGUUUCCUUCAGAUCCACUACACACGCUACCAAAUCAUCUAUGAUUUUAUCAGAUUCCCUUAGUUCUAAGGUCAAGUCAUAUUUAUCCUUCACAAGGUUAUGAUACGCACAAAUAAAUACAUUAGCUAAAGACAUAAGUUUCUUAGGAGUGUAGGAUUUCAGAUUUCUCUAAACAUCCCUGAAAGUUACCUUUUUGUUGUCAUUGUCUUUAUUAUCAUCUAAUUGGGCAAUCAAAGCAAACGUUGAGUCAUAUUCAUUUUCCUCGCUUUCAACUGCCAUCAUGGAACUAUCACCAGUAUCAAUUUUAUCUUCAGACGCACUAGAGGAAUCCCCCCAUGUUGCACGAGCUUGUUUCACCACAUUGUCAGCAUAUCUCAUUUUUUUGAAGUCCUUGAGAGGAACCGAGUUCUUCUUAGCUACUUUUUUACGGUUGUCUUGGAGAAUUCUUGCUUCAAGAGAGGAAAGUCUUUGAUGAAGUGUCCAAGAUUUCCACACUUAUGACAGAGAUCAUAAUUUUUUGGUUUGCUAGAGUUGCCCCUUUUUAGCAUUUCCCAAUUUCUUUUGAGAAUCUUCUGAAAUUUUUAGGUUGAGUAAACCAUGUUACUGUCUUCCUCACUUGAUUUAUUUCCAUCACUUUAGAGUACCAGGUUUUUUAUUUCUUUGGUUCUCUUCUUUCAUUGUCUAUCUUCCUUUUCAUCUCGUAGGUCUUCAGAUUUCCAAUCAGCUCUUUUAUGGUCAGCUUUUGUAAGUCCUUCGACUCAGUAAUAAUAUUUACCUUGCUUUCCCAAGGGCUAGGCAGAAUAUCGGGAAUUUUCCUCACUAGCUUAACCCUUGAUGCAGAUGUAGAGGUUAAGCUUGAUGCUCAAGCUAUCCCCAAGAGAGCGAGUCGUAAGUAUCAUGAGUCUAUUAUCCAAGGUAAUUGGGACAUUGAAAAAGAUGUUGCACAUCGCAUUGGAGCGGGAUGGAUGAAGUCGAGGCUCGCUUCCGGUGUUUUGUGUGAUAGGGAUGUUCAACUAAGACUUAAGGGUAAGUUUUAUCGAGUGGUGGUUCGACCGUUUAUGUUGUAUGGGAUUGAGAGUUGUCCGGUCAAGAACUCCCAUUUGUAGAAGAAGAGAGUAGCUGAGAUGAGGAUGUUGAGAUGGAUGUGUGGGCGUACCAGGAGAGAUAGGAUUAAGAAUGAAUCUAUCUGCCACAUAGUGGUAGUAUCCUCCAUGGAUGACAAGAUGUAGGAGUCAAGGAUGAGAUUGUUCGGACAUGUUAAGAGAAGAAGCAUCGAUACUCCUCUCAGGAGGUGUGAGAGGUUGGCAUAGAGAGUUAGAGAACAGGUCAAGGUAGGCCUUAGAAGUAAUGGGAAGAGGUGAUUACACGACACGGCGCUGCUCCAGCUCACUAAGGACAUGACCCUUGAUACGAAAGGGUGUGGAGGUUGAGGAUUAAGGUAGAAUGUUUAUAGGUAGUUUAUAGUUUUUCACCGAUAGUAUUAGUAGCAUGCAUGUCUCUUCAUAUUCUUAGAUUUCUAUUAUGUUAUGUGAUUGUAUUUGCCUCAUGUAUUGUAUUCCCUGCUGCUAUUAUUUGGUACUACUUAUCCUUUUGUUCCCCCUUCCCCCCUUUUCUUUUCUCUACAUUCCUUUCUUUCAACUUCUUCUUCUUGUUCUUCCUGAGCCGAGGGUCUACUAUAGACAGACUCUCUACCUGCAUUAGGUAGGGCUAAAGUCUGCGUACAAACUACCCUCGCUGCCCCCACCUGUUGGGAUCAAACUAGGUUUGUUUUUGUUGUAGCUUGUUCCUAGGAAUGGUUUCACCAAGUGAGUAUAAAUAAUUUAUGAUGGAAGUGAAUCUUGUGUGCAUAUCUUGAAUAGAUUUGUUGUCUUUUAUCCUAAAGAGUUCAUACUCGAUAGUGGCCAUAUAGAUCUUAGAUUGUUUUACUUGGUGUGAGCACAUGAUUUUUGCCCUUAUGAAUUACUCCCAUAAAAUAUCCGAAAAUAAUUUUUCCCAAAUUUUGCAAUUUUAUUAGAUUUUUCGUAGAAUUUGUUUAAUUAUUUUCAUUAAUGUGCAUAUUUAAUUACCAUUAAAAAAUAAAAAAACCUACCAAAAAUACCAUGCAUUGCAUUUAGAUUUUUGUUCACAUUUUAGGAUUAAGUAAUUAGUUAGUUAUUUUAUAAAAGUCAAAAUCACAAAAAAUAUUUCAUUUUUACACUUUUUCCUUUUAUUGAUUUUUUCUCUUUUAAUUUAGGAUUAAGUAAUAAUUAGCUAAUUAGUUUAAUUUCAUACUUUUGAAUAAUUUAGGGUUUUUAAUGAAAAGAAAAGGGGAAAAUUAGAAAAUAAAAGAAUGGAAAUUGAAAAAAAAAUUAAUUUGAAUUUGGGACCAAAUUCUAAACCCAAAUCGGUUCAACCCAUGCCCAAAAGCUAAAAUGACCCAUUAGCCCAAUCUCCCCACCCAACCUGCUUGAUCCUCCAUGAGUUAGAGACACGGAAAUAACAUGUCCCUAUCCCCAUCGUUUUCACUGGGGGCGUACAAAGGAAACCGACAAACCGCACCAAUCCGAUUAUCCGAGUCAAACCGAGAAAAAAAUCUGACCAUGAUUUGGUUUGAUUUGGUUUGGUGUUGGAAAAAAAAACUCGACCAUAAUUGGUUUGGUUUGGUUUUAACUAAAGAAAGUCAAACCGAAACCAAACCAAACCGACAUUACAUGUAUAGAACUUUUAGAUAUAUUUAAUAUAUAAAUAUACUUAUUGUGAAGUAUUUAUAAAUAUUUCUUAAACAAAUUCAUAAUUUUAUCUUUAAGGUAUUAUUUCAAGGUUGAACUUAGAACUUUUUGAAUGUUACAAUAAAUUUUAUAACCAUUAAUAUUAUUAAAUUAAAUAAUGCUAACAAAAGCGAAAUUAAAACCAAAACCAAAUCAAUAUUAAUGCUAACAAAAGACAUUCAAUUCAAUACUAUGAACGAGAAUGUAUUGAAUAUCUAUUUUUUAUUUUGCAAUGAUUUAGAUAAAUGCACAACCUAUUUUUAUUUUUCUUUAGCGUUAGUCAUGUAAUUAAUAUUCCCUUAUUAGUCUACUUAUUUUAGCAUGACUUAGCAUUUUUAGAUUAUUUUUAUUUUUAUUGUAGCUUUUUAAUUAGCAAUAUUGAUAUUACAUAAUUUUCUUGUCUUUAUUGUUGAAUAUUUUAGGACAAUACCAUGACACAUCUCAUAUUUUAUAUUAUUUUCUUGGAAAAUAAUUUAUAUAGUUGUAUCUUACUAGGAUUAAAGAAAUAUUUUGAGCAAAAUUUAUAUGCUUUAUUCUAUGAAGAUUUUAUUCGAAAAAUUUAGAAAAAACCCGAAUAACUCAAAAACCCAAAAAAACCCGAAUAAAUCCGAGAACGAAAAACUCAUAUUGGUUUGAUUUGGUAUUUAGAUUUAAUAACCCGACAUAAUAUGUUUUGUUUGGUAAUUGUAAAAUUCGAAUCAAACCGGCCCAUGUACACCCCUAAUUUUCACCAUUUCGAAGAUCUUCAAAUAAACGGAAUACCUCUUUCCAAGGAUCACACACAGAGGACCCCUGUCUCCAUUCUUCAUUUUUCUCCGACGCCUGAGCGUAGCAGCCAUAGCCAUCGUGCUUCUACUUCUUUCCAUUUACAACACCUGAAAUAUGAAUCUACCUCUUGCUUAAGUUCCGAUCUCCGGUCCCAAAUAUGGAGUACGGUUAGGUUCGAGUUGAGAUUGAUGUUCCGGCACGGUUCGAGUGUUGUUGUCGUUUGGCAUUUCAUUUUGUGAGGAACAAGCUCCUGCGGUCCAUUCAAUUGUAUUUCAGAUCUGAAAUCCUUGUAAUUGUUGGGAGUACUCGUCAAUUGUAAGACUAUUUCAGUCGAAUUUUUGAAUCGGAGCUGAUGUACCUUUUGAUUGUUUUCCUUUAGUAUUGAGAAUAUUUUGGGCUACCAGAGUUACAGAUAGAUAUUUUGCUCAAUUUUGUUGCGUAGGAGUUUCAAAAAAAUCCAAGCGUGUGAGUUUCGAAUUCAAUAUUGAGCUCGGUUGACGGUAGUCCGUUCCAAAUUUGACGAGGUUGCCUGAUUCGACUCGCGCUGAUUCUGUUUGAAGUCGACGUUCGAGUCUUCUAAGGCUCCAAAGUUCCGAUCCGGGAUUCUGUCGCCGUUUGAAUUGUAAUCGCUAGCUCAAAUUUAGGCUGUGGCAUUUAUCUGGUUAUUUCCAUGCUCUGUUGUCAUGUUGUGAAUAUUUUAUGGCCAAACUAUAACAUAUAUUGACUAGUUUUGUUCUCUGGCCGAGUUGGUUUAUUUCACUGAUAUUGAGAUCAUGGAAAUUUAGUACAUUUUUCUUCUCCUUUUCUUUUGUUAGUCAAAACUUAAAGUUAUAAGAUUAUGUGGAUAGUUAGAUAGAGCUAGAAGGGUUUGUUAAAUGUCUAGAUAUGUUCUGCUAGUACCAUAAUAUGCUU
Molecule: long non-coding RNA, 5189 nt
Filed under: Nicotiana benthamiana
Lineage: Eukaryota; Viridiplantae; Streptophyta; Magnoliopsida; Solanales; Solanaceae
Description: long non-coding RNA (NBEN_LNC031165)
Source: RNAcentral